AGAGUUUGAUCCUGGCUCAGAGCGAACNNUGCGGCAUGCUUAACACAUGCAAGUCUGACGGGCCGGGCAACCGGUCAGUGGCGGACGGGUGAGUAACGCGUAGGAACGUAUCCACGGCUGGGGGAUAACGCCUGGAAACGGGCGCUAAUACCGCAUGGGUCCUGAGGGACAAACCGCGAGGCGGCUGUGGAGCGGCCUGCGUCCGAUUAGGUAGUUGGUGGGGUAAAGGCCUACCAAGCCUACGAUCGGUAGCUGGUCUGAGAGGACGACCAGCCACACUGGGACUGAGACACGGCCCAGACUCCUACGGGAGGCAGCAGUGGGGAAUAUUGGGCAAUGGGCGAAAGCCUGACCCAGCAAUGCCGCGUGGGUGAAGAAGGUCUUCGGAUUGUAAAGCCCUUUCGGCGGGGACGAUGAUGACGGUACCCGCAGAAGAAGCCCCGGCUACUUCGUGCCAGCAGCCGCGGUAAUACGAAGGGGGCUAGCGUUGCUCGGAAUUACUGGGCGUAAAGGGCGCGUAGGCGGCGCACCAAGUCAGGCGUGAAAUUCCUGGGCUCAACCUGGGGGCUGCGCUUGAGACUGGUGUGCUUGAGGAUGGAAGAGGCUCGUGGAAUUCCCAGUGUAGAGGUGAAAUUCGUAGAUAUUGGGAAGAACACCGGUGGCGAAGGCGGCGAGCUGGUCCAUUACUGACGCUGAGGCGCGACAGCGUGGGGAGCAAACAGGAUUAGAUACCCUAGUAGUCC
Molecule: ribosomal RNA, 743 nt
Filed under: uncultured bacterium
Lineage: Bacteria
Description: bacterial SSU rRNA
Rfam family: Bacterial small subunit ribosomal RNA
Source: RNAcentral